This 225-nucleotide long non-coding RNA is filed under the name Physcomitrium patens. RNAcentral describes it as "long non-coding RNA (PPAT_LNC002648)". Lineage: Eukaryota; Viridiplantae; Streptophyta; Bryopsida; Funariales; Funariaceae. The record is from RNAcentral.
UAGCAACGUGAAUUAAGAAAUUGCAAUGUAAACAAUGCCAGCCAAGAGCCCCACUCCUAACUUCUACCCUGGUUCUCCUCCUGAUAUGACUUAACCUAACAGGCCUAUAACAACCUAUCCUAUUAGUGUCUUCCUGACGGCUCACCUUCACUCAACCCGUCCAUAAUCUCAUCAUCACACGCUCUUCCCUUCCCAUCACAACUCUUGCGCUGUCACUUCAAUACU